CAACCGGGAUUGCCUCAGUAACGGCGAGUGAAGCGGCAAGAGCUCAAAUUUGAAAGCUGGCUCCUUCGGGGUCCGCAUUGUAAUUUGCAGAGGAUGCUUCGGGUGCGGCCCCUGUCUAAGUGCCCUGGAACGGGCCGUCAGAGAGGGUGAGAAUCCCGUCUGGGAUGGGGUGUCCGCGCCCGUGUGAAGCUCCUUCGACGAGUCGAGUUGUUUGGGAAUGCAGCUCUAAAUGGGUGGUAAAUUUCAUCUAAAGCUAAAUACUGGCCGGAGACCGAUAGCGCACAAGUAGAGUGAUCGAAAGAUGAAAAGCACUUUGAAAAGAGAGUUAAAAAGCACGUGAAAUUGUUGAAAGGGAAGCGCUUGCGACCAGACUCGCCUCCAGGGUUCAGCCGGCAUUCGUGCCGGUGUACUUCCCUGGGGGCGGGCCAGCGUCGGUUUGGGCGGCCGGUCAAAGGCUCCCGGAAUGUAGUGCCCUUCGGGGCACCUUAUAGCCGGGAGUGCAAUGCGGCCAGCCUGGACCGAGGAACGCGCUUCGGCACGGACGCUGGCAUAAUGGUCGCAA
Molecule: ribosomal RNA, 562 nt
Filed under: Aspergillus tamarii
Lineage: Eukaryota; Fungi; Ascomycota; Eurotiomycetes; Eurotiales; Aspergillaceae
Description: eukaryotic LSU rRNA
Rfam family: Eukaryotic large subunit ribosomal RNA
Source: RNAcentral